AACGAACGCUGGCGGCAUGCCUAACACAUGCAAGUCGAACGAAGGCUUCGGCCUUAGUGGCGCACGGGUGCGUAACGCGUGGGAACCUGCCCCUCGGUUCGGAAUAACAGUUAGAAAUGACUGCUAAUACCGGAUGAUGACUUCGGUCCAAAGAUUUAUCGCCGAGGGAUGGGCCCGCGUAGGAUUAGCUAGUUGGUGGGGUAAAGGCCUACCAAGGCGACGAUCCUUAGCUGGUCUGAGAGGAUGAUCAGCCACACUGGGACUGAGACACGGCCCAGACUCCUACGGGAGGCAGCAGUGGGGAAUAUUGGACAAUGGGCGAAAGCCUGAUCCAGCAAUGCCGCGUGAGUGAUGAAGGCCUUAGGGUUGUAAAGCUCUUUUACCAGGGAUGAUAAUGACAGUACCUGGAGAAUAAGCUCCGGCUAACUCCGUGCCAGCAGCCGCGGUAAUGUCGAUAU
This 458-nucleotide ribosomal RNA is filed under the name uncultured bacterium. RNAcentral describes it as "bacterial SSU rRNA". It matches the Rfam family "Bacterial small subunit ribosomal RNA", at positions 29 to 532 of the family's 1533-position model. The record is from RNAcentral.